AGUGAACGCUGGCGGCAGGCCUAACACAUGCAAGUCGAACGGCAGCACAGGAGAGCUUGCUCUCUGGGUGGCGAGUGGCGGACGGGUGAGGAAUACAUGGGAAUCUACCCUGUCGUGGGGGAUAACGUAGGGAAACUUACGCUAAUACCGCAUACGACCGAGAGGUGAAAGCGGCGGACCGCAAGGCGUCGCGCGACUGGAUGAGCCCAUGUCGGAUUAGCUUGUUGGCGGGGUAACGGCCCACCAAGGCGACGAUCCGUAGCUGGUCUGAGAGGAUGAUCAGCCACACUGGAACUGAGACACGGUCCAGACUCCUACGGGAGGCAGCAGUGGGGAAUAUUGGACAAUGGGCGCAAGCCUGAUCCAGCCAUGCCGCGUGUGUGAAGAAGGCCUUCGGGUUGUAAAGCACUUUUGUCCGGAAAGAAAAGUUCUCGGUUAAUACCCGGGGAUCCUGACGGUACCGGAAGAAUAAGCACCGGCUAACUUCGUGCCAGCAGCCGCGGUAAUACGAAGGGUGCAAGCGUUACUCGGAAUUACUGGGCGUAAAGCGUGCGUAGGUGGUUUGUUAAGUCUGAUGUGAAAGCCCUGGGCUCAACCUGGGAAUGGCAUUGGAUACUGGCGAGCUAGAGUGCGGUAGAGGGUAGUGGAAUUCCCGGUGUAGCAGUGAAAUGCGUAGAGAUCGGGAGGAACAUCUGUGGCGAAGGCGACUACCUGGACCAGCGCUGACACUGAGGCACGAAAGCGUGGGGAGCAAACAGGAUUAGACACCCUGGUAGUCCACGCCCUAAACGAUGCGAACUGGAUGUUGGGAGCAAUUAGGCUCUCAGUAUCGAAGCUAACGCGUUAAGUUCGCCGCCUGGGGAGUACGGUCGCAAGACUGAAACUCAAAGGAAUUGACGGGGGCCCGCACAAGCGGUGGAGUAUGUGGUUUAAUUCGAUGCAACGCGAAGAACCUUACCUGGCCUUGACAUCCACGGAAUCCUUCAGAGAUGAGGGAGUGCCUUCGGGAACCGUGAGACAGGUGCUGCAUGGCUGUCGUCAGCUCG
Molecule: ribosomal RNA, 1046 nt
Filed under: uncultured bacterium
Lineage: Bacteria
Description: bacterial SSU rRNA
Rfam family: Bacterial small subunit ribosomal RNA
Source: RNAcentral